Molecule: long non-coding RNA, 865 nt
Organism: Vigna radiata var. radiata (mung bean)
Lineage: Eukaryota; Viridiplantae; Streptophyta; Magnoliopsida; Fabales; Fabaceae
Exons: 3
Source: RefSeq, a predicted model, not a curated record
CGAACCCCGAUAUCUCCCAUUCUGGAAUCGACUUGCUGCCUCCCACCACCACCGUUCCUUUCAGAUCCGACGCCUUCGGACCCAACUCGAAGUUCCCGUUCGCCACCAGUCCUGUGCUCACCGUUCACCGGAGAGCUUACCAUCGAUAAUGGAGAAGGAGACAUGAAAGGUGGAAUACAAGAGCACCGACAGAAAUAGGAACCUUCCCUUCAUGUUUUCUGGGAUGAGAAACUCUGCAAUUUUGGGAUAAUAAUGAGGUGAAAAGGGAGGAAGAUGAAAGAAGGGAGAAAAAGCAUUGUGGAUCAGUGGAGGGAGAGUGUCUUAUGUUAUGAUAGACUAAAGGGAAGAAGAACAAAGAUACUACUUGGAGCUGAAAUCAUUAAUGGUGCAUUGAAAGAUGAAACAUUUGCAUGUUAUUAGAGUCCAUGGAGAAAACACAUCACGAGGAAGGUGGGGAAGAGGAAGAAAGUGAGGACAAGAAGAGAGAGAGUAAGAGAAAGUGACCCACAAAAAGGAUCUAGGUGGACUGUAUUGGGCAUUGUUUCAUGAUGAUGGGAUUGCUGCAAAAUAGUCACCCACCUAUAAUUGGGAAAGAUCACACACACAUACACACAUUGGUUUUGUUCAUGGGCCUUCAUUCAUGCUUUCAAGUUAUGUGGGCCUUUUCAUAUGGAAAGUGGUUAUGCUUUCACUCUCACUCUCAUGCAUGGAUGAUGAGGUCCAUUUCAAUCUCCCAUCUUCAUCAUUCAAUUCUAUAUUAUUCAUUUAUUUUCAUCUUAGAGUGACUUCCACAUGCAAAUCAAUGUCUAAUUAUAAUCUACCGACAUGCAUUUCAUAUUAAGAAUUGAUUUAUAUUGUUUUCAUU